AGGACGAACGCUGGCGGCGUGCUUAACACAUGCAAGUCCAUCGGAAAGGCCCUGCUUUUGUGGGGUGCUCGAGUGGCGAACGGGUGAGUAACACGUGAGUAACCUGCCCUUGACUUUGGGAUAACUUCAGGAAACUGGGGCUAAUACCGGAUAGGAGCUCCUGCUGCAUGGUGGGGGUUGGAAAGUUUCGGCGGUUGGGGAUGGACUCGCGGCUUAUCAGCUUGUUGGUGGGGUAGUGGCUUACCAAGGCUUUGACGGGUAGCCGGCCUGAGAGGGUGACCGGCCACAUUGGGACUGAGAUACGGCCCAGACUCCUACGGGAGGCAGCAGUGGGGAAUAUUGCACAAUGGGCGGAAGCCUGAUGCAGCAACGCCGCGUGCGGGAUGACGGCCUUCGGGUUGUAAACCGCUUUCGCCUGUGACGAAGCGUGAGUGACGGUAAUGGGUAAAGAAGCACCGGCUAACUACGUGCCAGCAGCCGCGGUGAUACGUAGGGUGCGAGCGUUGUCCGGAUUUAUUGGGCGUAAAGGGCUCGUAGGUGGUUGAUCGCGUCGGAAGUGUAAUCUUGGGGCUUAACCCUGAGCGUGCUUUCGAUACGGGUUGACUUGAGGAAGGUAGGGGAGAAUGGAAUUCCCGGUGGAGCGGUGGAAUGCGCAGAUAUCAGGAGGAACACCAGUGGCGAAGGCGGUUCUCUGGGCCUUUCCUGACGCUGAGGAGCGAAAGCGUGGGGAGCGAACAGGCUUAGAUACCCUGGUAGUCCACGCUGUAAACGGUGGGUACUAGGUGUGGGGUCCAUUCCACGGGUUCCGUGCCGUAGCUAACGCUUUAAGUACCCCGCCUGGGGAGUACGGCCGCAAGGCUAAAACUCAAAGGAAUUGACGGGGCCCCGCACAAGCGGCGGAGCAUGCGGAUUAAUUCGAUGCAACGCGUAGAACCUUACCUGGGUUUGACAUGGAUCGGGAGUGCUCAGAGAUGGGUGUGCCUCUUUUGGGGUCGGUUCACAGGUGGUGCAUGGCUGUCGUCAGCUCGUGUCGUGAGAUGUUGGGUUAAGUCCCGCAACGAGCGCAACCCUUGUUCACUGUUGCCAGCACGUUAUGGUGGGGACUCAGUGGAGACCGCCGGGGUCAACUCGGAGGAAGGUGGGGAUGACGUCAAGUCAUCAUGCCCCUUAUGUCCAGGGCUUCACGCAUGCUACAAUGGCUGGUACAGAGAGUGGCGAGCCUGUGAGGGUGAGCGAAUCUCGGAAAGCCGGUCUCAGUUCGGAUUGGGGUCUGCAACUCGACCUCAUGAAGUCGGAGUCGCUAGUAAUCGCAGAUCAGCAACGCUGCGGUGAAUACGUUCCCGGGGCUUGUACACACCGCCCGUCAAGUCAUGAAAGUUGGUAACACCCGAAGCCGGUGGCCUAACCGUUGUGGGGGAGCCGUCGAAG
RNAcentral lists this ribosomal RNA (1428 nucleotides) under uncultured organism. RNAcentral's name for it is "16S ribosomal RNA". It matches the Rfam family "Bacterial small subunit ribosomal RNA". The record is from RNAcentral.